UACAGAGGUCCCAAGCGUUGUUCGGAUUCACUGGGCGUAAAGGGUGCGUAGGUGGUCGGGUAAGUCUGAUGUGAAAUCUCCGAGCUUAACUCGGAAACUGCAUCGGAUACUAUUCGGCUCGAGGGUUGGAGGGGGGACUGGAAUGCUUGGUGUAGCAGUGAAAUGCGUAGAUAUCAAGCGGAACACCAGUGGCGAAGGCGAGUCCCUGGACAACUCCUGACACUGAGGCACGAAAGCUAGGGGAGCAAACAGG
Molecule: ribosomal RNA, 253 nt
Filed under: uncultured bacterium
Lineage: Bacteria
Description: partial 16S ribosomal RNA
Rfam family: Bacterial small subunit ribosomal RNA
Source: RNAcentral